This 898-nucleotide long non-coding RNA is filed under the name Lathyrus oleraceus (garden pea). RNAcentral's name for it is "Pisum sativum (pea) long non-coding RNA (PSAT_LNC012007)". Lineage: Eukaryota; Viridiplantae; Streptophyta; Magnoliopsida; Fabales; Fabaceae. The record is from RNAcentral.
CUCUGUCAAAAAAUCCUCCUUCUGAACUGCAUUGAGGUUAGCUUCUAUAGAGUUUUAGAAUUUGUUAGAGAUGAUAGUGAAAUUUAGAUCAAAUUAUAAGUUAGUUAGAAAUUCCACUUAAAUUGCAACGAAAAUCCACUUGAAAUUACAUUGGAAUUAUAAGUUAGUUGGUAAUUAGUUUUAGGUUAGUUAUCAAAUGAACAAUUGUUCUCGAGUUAGUUAUAACAGCUGGAAAAUGUAGUUGGAGAUUCAAUCACAGUUAGUUAAUUAGAAAUUAUAAUGGAAUUCGAAUUGAAAUGAAAUGCAAGUGGAUUUUGUUAAUUUCUAUUAGUUGCUUUGUUAAUGUGAAAUUAUUGUUAGUUAACUUUGAAUGAAAAGCUAGUUAGAUUGAAUCCGGUUAGUUGCUUAUAUUAUUAGGACUGUCAAAUUUAGUUAUUGUUGAAAUCCAAUUUCCAGUUAGUUAAGAGUGUUAAUGGAGUUAAUUAGUUAGCUAUGUUAUUAAAAUGAUUAGUGUUAGUUUGUUUUUGGAUGACACUACUAAAAAGGAAAUUUGUUUUUGGCCAUCUUCAGCAACAUAUUCAUCUUCAUGGUUCUUCAGUUGUCUACUGGCUUCAGCAAAGGUGGAUGAGUUUAUAUAAUACUCGGAACUUUGAUGGGCAUCAAUAACAGAGGAUACAUGAACUGUUGAUUGACUCUCGAUAGAAGGCCACUCAUAUUUCUGUGGAACAUUGUGGUUAUUAACAUAGCUUUGGUCAUUAUUGGUCUCCAUAACAUUCAAGUUAUGAUGUGGGGUUGCUAAUAAGGCAUAGAACUUUUAAGUUGUAAAAACAUAGUUUUUAAUAAAACUUUGUUUUGUAAUAGAACUCUUAAUUUGUGCUAAACUUGAUUUGGGUUAAAA